This 867-nucleotide ribosomal RNA is filed under the name uncultured archaeon. Its description in RNAcentral is "bacterial SSU rRNA". It matches the Rfam family "Archaeal small subunit ribosomal RNA", at positions 1 to 878 of the family's 1478-position model. The record is from RNAcentral.
UCCGGUUGAUCCUGCCAGAGGCCACUGCUAUCAGAGUUCGAUUAAGCCAUGCGAGUCGAGAGGUGCAAGACCUCGGCAUACUGCUCAGUAACACGUGGACAACCUACCCUACAGAAGGGGAUAACCCCGGGAAACUGGGGAUAAUACCCUAUAGACUAUGGAAGCUGGAAUGCUCUGUAGCCGAAAGGUCCGCCGCUGUAGGAUGGGUCUGCGGCCGAUUAGGUUGUUGUUGGGGUAACGGCCCAACAAGCCUGUAAUCGGUACGGGUUGUGGGAGCAAGAGCCCGGAGAUGGAUUCUGAGACACGAAUCCAGGCCCUACGGGGCGCAGCAGGCGCGAAAACUUUGCAAUGCGGGAAACCGUGACAAGGGAACUCUGAGUGCCCGUAAAAUCGGGCUGUCCAUCAGUUUAAAUAACUGGUGAAGAAAGGGCCGGGCAAGACCGGUGCCAGCCGCCGCGGUAAUACCGGCGGCUCGAGUGGUGGCCACUAUUACUGGGCUUAAAGCGUUCGUAGCUGGUUUGUUAAGUCUCUGGGGAAAUCUUCCGGCUUAACCGGAAGGCGUCUCAGGGAUACUGGCAGACUAGGGACCGGAAGAGGUGAGAGGUACUCCAGGGGUAGGAGUGAAAUCCUGUAAUCCUUGGGGGACCACCCGUGGCGAAGGCGUCUCACCAGAACGGCUCCGACAGUGAGGGACGAAAGCUGGGGGAGCAAACCGGAUUAGAUACCCGGGUAGUCCCAGCUGUAAACGAUGCGCGUUAGGUGUAUCGGUGACCACGAGUCACCAAGGUGCCGAAGAGAAAUCGUGAAACGCGCCGCCUGGGAAGUACGGUCGCAAGGCUGAAACUUAAAGGAAUUGGCGGGGGAGCA